Molecule: non-coding RNA, 174 nt
Organism: Sphingopyxis bauzanensis
Lineage: Bacteria; Pseudomonadati; Pseudomonadota; Alphaproteobacteria; Sphingomonadales; Sphingopyxidaceae
Source: Rfam
GUCGUCGCGAGGCGAGGUGGGGAGGAAGCCGGAGGCAAAGCUCGGAGCUGACGAACAGGAACCGGAUAUGAGGCCGGUGCGGUGGGGUAACUGGGCCAUGGACCGGGACGCCCGAUAUUCAGACAGACACGCGCGCAGGUAAAUCCGGCGGCGACCGAGUGAAGGAUCAACGUC